GAGUUUGAUCAUGGCUCAGGACGAACGCUGGCGGCGUGCCUAAAACAUGCAAGUCGAACGAUCCCUUCGGGGGUAGUGGCGAACGGCGGAGUAAUACGUGAACAACGUGCCCUAAAGACUGGGAUAGUCUCUGGAAACGGGGGGUAAUACCAGAUGUGGCUCUGACUCGGCAUCGAGACAGAACUAAAUGGUUUUUCGCUUUAGGAGCGGUUCACGGCCUAUCAGGUAGUUGGUGGGGUAAUGGCCUACCAAGCCGACGACGGGUAGCGGGUCUGAGAGGAUGGUCCGCUCGAGUGGGACUGAGACACGGCCCACACACCUACGGGUGGCAGCAGUUGGGAAUCUUGCACAAUGGGGGAAACCCUGAUGCAGCGACGCCGCGUGGAGGAUGAAGGCCCUAGGGUUGUAAACUCCUUUUUUCGGGAAAGACUUAGGACGGUACCCGAAGAAUAAGCACCGGCUAACUACGUGCCAGCAGCCGCGGUAAGACGUAGGGUGCAAGCGUUGUCCGGAUUUACUGGGCGUAAAGCGCGCGUANGCGGCUUGUUUAGUGUGAAGUGAAAG
This 564-nucleotide ribosomal RNA is filed under the name uncultured bacterium. Its description in RNAcentral is "bacterial SSU rRNA". It matches the Rfam family "Bacterial small subunit ribosomal RNA", at positions 9 to 600 of the family's 1533-position model. The record is from RNAcentral.